UGAAAAUAUAAUGUAACUAUGUGCUUUGUCAAUUUAGUACCAGUUUAAUGUGUUGAUGCAUUUAAGAGGCGGCUAUAUCUUUUUAUGCGUAUGACAUUGUAGCUGGUUUCUUGUCUAAUAUGUUUGUUUAUUUUAUAACCAACUCACAGAAUGAUUAGCAAUUGCAAUCUGGAAGGUUAAUCAGAAGGAGAAGCUAAGCCUCGUGAACGGAGAGAUGUAUAUAUUGUACACGUAACAAGGAUGCAUAUAUUAGUCAGAUAUCGUAUUUUGAUUCAGGAAAUGCGUUCUUCCCUGCUUAUUUUUGGAGUCCAUCACUCAUGAACAUAGCAAUUCAGUAUGCUACUUUACACAUGCAAGACUUGAGUGGCUGAUUGUAUAAGCAUGUUUUUGUUCUUACUGCAUUGCAUGUGUAGUUUCUUAAACAUUGAAUUGGUGGAUGAAUUUGUAGUCGUCAUAUAGAGCAAAUGAGCUUUGUUUUUAUUUUUUAAGUACAUUGGCAUAAAUUAAAUGAAAUGUAGCUUGUUCUUUGGAGUAUUUUGGA
RNAcentral lists this long non-coding RNA (541 nucleotides) under Olea europaea subsp. europaea. Lineage: Eukaryota; Viridiplantae; Streptophyta; Magnoliopsida; Lamiales; Oleaceae. The record is from RNAcentral.